UGGGGAAUUUUGGACAAUGGGCGCAAGCCUGAUCCAGCCAUGCCGCGUGCGGGAAGAAGGCCUUCGGGUUGUAAACCGCUUUUGUCAGGGAAGAAACGGUCUGUCUUAAUACUGCGGGCUAAUGACGGUACCUGAAGAAUAAGCACCGGCUAACUACGUGCCAGCAGCCGCGGUAAUACGUAGGGUGCGAGCGUUAAUCGGAAUUACUGGGCGUAAAGUGUGCGCAGGCGGCUUCGCAAGUCGAGUGUGAAAUCCCCGGGCUUAACUUGGGAACGGCGCUCGAAACUACGGAGCUAGAGUAUGGCAGAGGGAGGUGGAAUUCCACGUGUAGCGGUGAAAUGCGUAGAGAUGUGGAGGAACACCAAUGGCGAAGGCAGCCUCCUGGGCCAAUACUGACGCUCAUGCACGAAAGCGUGGGGAGCAAACAGGAUUAGAUCCCUCUAGUCCCUGAGCGGGCUGGCAAGGCGCAU
RNAcentral lists this ribosomal RNA (470 nucleotides) under uncultured bacterium. RNAcentral describes it as "bacterial SSU rRNA". It matches the Rfam family "Bacterial small subunit ribosomal RNA", at positions 355 to 825 of the family's 1533-position model. The record is from RNAcentral.